Molecule: non-coding RNA, 312 nt
Organism: Condylura cristata (star-nosed mole)
Lineage: Eukaryota; Metazoa; Chordata; Mammalia; Eulipotyphla; Talpidae
Source: the annotation of a RefSeq genome assembly
AUGGGCACCAGGUUUCUCUGCUGUGUGGCCCUGUGUCUCCUGGGAGCAGGCCCAGGGGACGCCGCCGUCUCGCAGAGCCCCAGGUACGUGGUCACAGCGAGAAGACAGAGCGUGACCCUGACAUGUUGCUAUGAGAAUGGACACCGGACUGUGUACUGGUACAAGCAGACCCCGGGCCAGGGCCCCCAGUUCCUGGUUCGCUAUUACAAUGGAGAAGAGCAAGAAAAAGGAGACACCCACGUCAGAUUCAACGUUACCCAGUUCAGUAACUUCACGUCUCAGCUGACCUUGACCUCCGUGGGGCAGGAUAAC